This 1350-nucleotide long non-coding RNA is filed under the name Hordeum vulgare. Its description in RNAcentral is "long non-coding RNA (HVUL_LNC002207)". Lineage: Eukaryota; Viridiplantae; Streptophyta; Magnoliopsida; Poales; Poaceae. The record is from RNAcentral.
GUAAGUUUUUAAGUCGAGUCGCAACUACAAGUUUUCAAAUUAGAAUUGCAACUCCAGAUUUUCUAAAUGAAAUUGCAACUACAAUUUUAUAAAUGAGACUGUAAUUGCAAUUCUUUUAAAAUGGGGUCGCAAUUGUAACCCAACCACAACUAAAGUUGCACAUAGUUUAUUAUUUACUUUUCGCCUAUUAAAAUUUUUGCAUGACGCCCCAUCCACAAUAUCCCACACACAAGUAGACUUGCAGGCAAUUUUCUUUUCCAUUGUGAGGUUAGCAUCCACUGCAUGUAAAGAUAACGCUCACCGAACGAGCCUUCGUUGAAAAGAAAAUGAUUUUCUAGCUCCCUCGUAAACAAAAUGAUUUUCUAACUUGGUAACCUUUUUAAGAAAAACUAGGUGCAACUCGCUUGUAAUAUAUUGUGUAAUAUAUAGUUACAAGAAUAAAAAAGGAAAAUCAUGUGACAAUGCACUAGUAAUUAAUAUGCUCAUCCAAUUUGUAGAUGGUUGUAGGCCUAAUUUUUUUGUUCCAAAUGGAUGAAUACAUAUACACAAAAAAAAUAUAAGAGAGACAUGGACAAGGUGAUACACCACUCAGCCCACUAAUGGCAUGUAUUAACGGCCAAGACAACACACGUAGAAAGAAAACCAGCCUAUGCAUACAUGGUCAAUCAUAGAUGUAAAAUCAUGUAUUGAUACAUGACGAUGUCAUCCUAAUGUCAGCUGAGUGCGACCAAACUAUAUCUUAUUCAACUGAGUUCUAGGCGCUCCCUAUAUGUUAAGGGGAAUCACCUUUAGAGGGCACCGCACAACUGUGUUAAUGUUUGUGAGAGCCAAAUUAGUAUGCCAACUAAAAUCAAGCAACUUGCUCAUAGCUCUAAGUUCUCAAAUCACACAUAAAAAACUGGAUUCCCCCACCCCCUUAUUGCUACAAUAUUGCCAAGCGUUGUCAUGUCAAAUUGGGGGAACCAAACUACUACUAUUAAGGCUUACCUUAUGGUUGUUAAAUUAUGUUGUCUUAUGUUUAUUUUGUAAUAUGGCAUAGAAAAUUCAAGAGAGUAGACACAAGCAGGUCAAACAAACACAAAAAUAGGAAAAUGCAGGUAUAUCAAAUGGGAUUAUCAAAAUCUAGCACAAUAUGAACGCAACCUAAGUGCCUUACUACUACUAAGUGACCUACUAACAAUUUGGCAUCUAUUUUUUAAUUGUUUGGAUUGCUCAUUACAUGUGUCACAUGGUUACAUAUAACAACACGUGAGAUUCAAUUAGGCAAGCAAAAUUUCCACAUAAAUUUCAUGUUAAUCGUACAAUCAUAUGUUAUUCAUGUGCCUAUUCAACAACACACACACAUGUGAC